UACAGCUACCACCCGCAGGCAAGUUCGGAUCGGGGCCACGAGCAGGAAGCAUCUUACCCUUGCCUAAGCCCCCCUCUAACGGCUCUACCGCUACUACCCAGCGGCCGGCGCCGAAGAAAAGGGCAGAAAACCGAGACGGGGAAUUAUCAACGGGGGGAACUGCGAGCGAGCGCCCUCUACUGCACACCCCGCCCACAUCCAAAUUACUGGGCUGCUUUCGGAACACGAGCACUUAAACCGACCUCAGAGCAGCUCACUUUCCGCGCAUGCCCAAGAGCCUACAGCCCGCCCCACCAGGCGACGCAGUGACGGGGCUAGCCCUCUGCGCAUGCGGCUCAGGUUUGAGCGCUUACCGUUUGCCUCUCUGCGUCGUCCUCCUCCGCGUGCUUCUCCUCCAGGAGAUCGAGCCGGCUCGCUUCCAUUUUCUCCAAGCAGAACCGCUUCUCCCGGCUCCAGGACGAAGGCAUCGUCUUCCAAGAGGCAGGAGGCGGUAGCCGCGGGUCCUCCUCGGUGGCUGGGCAGCCUCGCUGCAGCCGGGAAAUGGUCAGCCCCCUCUGCCGCUGCUCCCGGCUGGCGGGAAUCUGCCUGACGGGGACGGGAAAGGAAAGCAUCUCCCAGCCGUCGCAAGCCGGGCUCCUUGGCUAGUAGCAUCAUCAUUUCCCAGAAGUGGAUGUUGAGGUCGAGGGGCCUCUGAGGCUGGUUGCUGGCGUCGUUCAUCCUGGGAUUCUUGGCGUGAGGCAGCAGGCGGGCAGAAAAUUUCGGUGCUAAGAGUUGAGCAGUGCCGGUCGCAGAGUGAGGGCUAGGCGGCCAAAGGCCCAGUUUAUAGAGCCUUCGUGGGGUCGCGAUAAUGCAGGAGCCAGUGGCGAGAACAGCCCCACCCUCUUCCUAUUGGCCAGGUGUUUCCGGUGUAAAAAGAAAAACAUCUCUGUGGUUAGACUGUUUCCGUUAGUGUAUGCACCAUCACGUUCACCAACCAGCUGCUUUUGCACUAGACCGAGCCACACUGUUUAGGACCUAUAUAACAAAUCCAGAGCAUCGAAUGUGCAGUUAGCAUUAUCCUAACUAUUUUUAUAGGGCUUUAAGUACUUCCUAACAAUGACUGCAUCACCUUGUCAAAACAUAUUUAUUUUAUAGCAGCAGCCCUGUAUGGCUGGCACCUUUUUAAAUGUGGACCUGCUUCUUUGCCUUUAACAGCAUCCUCAUUCAUAGAAGUUAAAUAGUUGAAGCUUUUCUGGAGUGAAGAUAACGUUUAGGAAAAAAGGUUCAUUGCUCUGCUAAAUUUCAGUGUUUUUAGCUGCAUUUAAAGGCACAGAAGCAGGGCCAAUUAAAAAAAGGUAAACACUUUAAAACAAAAGUAAGUAUCCUUACUUUUGUAAAACAAAAAUAAUCAGUUUAAACAAUAAUUUAAUGAUAGAAUUGGUAUCAGCUAUCCGUCAGAUCAACAAUUAAAAUGUAGGGUGGAAGGGGAAUGCUGUAACCUGUAAGUUGUCUGAACCCAUUGUUUAGAACAGGACAUAAAUAAAAUAAACUGUACACAUAAACUCAAAUCCAACAAUCCUGAAAUCAGUAAGUAGAAACAUUUGGACCAAAAUACAAUACUA
Molecule: long non-coding RNA, 1601 nt
Organism: Hemicordylus capensis (graceful crag lizard)
Lineage: Eukaryota; Metazoa; Chordata; Lepidosauria; Squamata; Cordylidae
Exons: 3
Source: RefSeq, a predicted model, not a curated record